This 274-nucleotide ribosomal RNA is filed under the name uncultured bacterium. RNAcentral's name for it is "partial 16S ribosomal RNA". It matches the Rfam family "Bacterial small subunit ribosomal RNA", at positions 523 to 796 of the family's 1533-position model. The record is from RNAcentral.
AUACGGAGGGUGCAAGCGUUGUUCGGAAUUACUGGGCGUAAAGGGCGCGCAGGCGGCUUGAUAAGUCAGAUGUGAAAGCCCACGGCUCAACCGUGGAAGUGCAUCUGAAACUGUCUGGCUUGAGUACUGGAGAGGAAAGUGGAAUUCCUGGUGUAGAGGUGAAAUUCGUAGAUAUCAGGAGGAACACCGGUGGCGAAGGCGACUUUCUGGACAGAUACUGACGCUGAGGCGCGAAAGCGUGGGGAGCAAACAGGAUUAGAAACCCUAGUAGUCC